CUACGUGCCAGCAGCCGCGGUAAUACGGAGGAUGCGAGCGUUAUCCGGAUUUAUUGGGUUUAAAGGGUGCGUAGGCGGCCUGUUAAGUCAGCGGUGAAAUCUAGGAGCUUAACUCCUAAAUUGCCAUUGAUACUGGCGGGCUUGAGUGUAGAUGAGGUAGGCGGAAUGCGUGGUGUAGCGGUGGAGUGCAUAGAUAUCACGCAGAACUCCGAUUGCGAAGGCAGCUUACUAAGGUACAACUGACGCUGAAGCACGAAAGCGUGGGUAUCAAACAGGAUUAGAUACCCUGGUAGUCCACGCAGUAAACGAUGAUAACUGGGCGUAUGCGAUAUACAGUAUGCUCCUAAGCGAAAGCGUUAAGUUAUCCACCUGGGGAGUACGCCGGCAACGGUGAAACUCAAAGGAAUUGACGGGGGCCCGCACAAGCGGAGGAACAUGUGGUUUAAUUCGAUGAUACGCGAGGAACCUUACCCGGGAUUGAA
RNAcentral lists this ribosomal RNA (482 nucleotides) under uncultured bacterium. Its description in RNAcentral is "bacterial SSU rRNA". It matches the Rfam family "Bacterial small subunit ribosomal RNA", at positions 501 to 985 of the family's 1533-position model. The record is from RNAcentral.